RNAcentral lists this ribosomal RNA (465 nucleotides) under Triticum aestivum (bread wheat). RNAcentral's name for it is "partial small subunit ribosomal RNA". Lineage: Eukaryota; Viridiplantae; Streptophyta; Magnoliopsida; Poales; Poaceae. The record is from RNAcentral.
AUGUUUCGGAUAUAUUUACUUACAUUUGAUGGGUAUUUGCGCGUUCAUUUUCAAAAUUACAGUAGAACUAAAGAGAGUUCCUUGUAUUCAAUAUCCUUAUGGGGAAAAAGGAUACCCAAAGGAGUGAAUAGGGAUUUCGUUUUAUCAACAACGAAGAGUGGAGUUUCUUUUUUUUCACAAAAUAUACCAAAAAUUCAAGGUAAUACAAGAAAUAGGAUAGGGUCCUUUACUACGUCUUUUGGGGCUAAAAAAACUUUUGCCUAUCCACAUGAAACGGGAAAUACUAUGUUAUUUCCUCUUCUUAUAUUACUACUUUUCACUUUGUUCAUUGGAUUCAUAGGAAUCUCUUUUGAUAAUGGAGGAAUUGGUAAUGGAAUAGCAGAGUUAACCAUAUUAUCAAAGUGGUUAACUCCCUCAAUAAACUUUACUCAGGAAAGUUCUAAUUCUUUUGUAAUUUAUUACUAA